This 75-nucleotide transfer RNA is filed under the name Candidatus Aenigmatarchaeota archaeon. RNAcentral's name for it is "tRNA-Pro". It matches the Rfam family "tRNA". Rfam says of the family: Transfer RNA (tRNA) molecules are approximately 80 nucleotides in length. Their secondary structure includes four short double-helical elements and three loops (D, anti-codon, and T loops). The record is from RNAcentral. Lineage: Archaea; Nanobdellati; Candidatus Aenigmatarchaeota.
GGGGAGAUCAUCCAGCUUGGUCUAAGAUUUACCCUUGGGGUGGGUAACACGUGGGUUCAAAUCCCACUCUCCCCA